This 244-nucleotide unclassified non-coding RNA is filed under the name Borreliella garinii. Its description in RNAcentral is "partial 5S-23S ribosomal RNA intergenic spacer". Lineage: Bacteria; Pseudomonadati; Spirochaetota; Spirochaetia; Spirochaetales; Borreliaceae. The record is from RNAcentral.
GAGUUCGCGGGAGAGUAAGUUAUUGCCAGGGUUUUUAUUUUAUACUUUAAACAUUGAUUUUAUUUUUUAUGUUUUUAGAUGUUCAUGUUUUUGAAUGUUUUAUUCGAAUAAUAUAAAAAAUAAAAUAUAUAUGUACAUGGAUUAGACAAAGAUAUAUAUUAUUCUAUGUUGUAUAAACAAAUUGGCAAAAUAGAGAUGGAAGAUAAAAAUAUGGUCAAAGUAAUAAGAGUCUAUGGUGAAUGCC